UUCACUUGAAUCAAGCUACUCCCAGCUUCUGCACACAUCUGGUCCAACACUACUUUGGGAUAUGUUUUGCUAAGGUUGCUGUUCUGCCUGGAAGGCCCUCAUUCCUCAGCUGCAUGACCCGAGGUUUCCUUCCUCUAAGACCUUGCUAGCGGCUCCUAGAUGCCUUCCAAACCAAAUUCUCUUCUAUGAGAUCAGCUCUUAGCUUUGUAUUCCCUGGCACUUAUGGAGUAUGUUAUGGAGAAAGACUGUCUAGUUGAAGGAAAACAAGCUCUGGGCUCCCACUGAUUCUACGUUAUGAGGAAUUUCUCAAGAUUUUAUCUUUACUGAUUGAUUUCUAAGGGAUGCUACUUGCUUCUAACAUCAUGUUAAUCAGCAAUGUAAGCUCUGGCAUAGCUUACCAACCCUAAGAGUGGCAGGGAGUUGCUCUGUGUAAUGGUGGAGUACUCAGCUGUCUUCUCCAUGGUGGUUGAGUUCUCUGGAUGGGAUCAGCUUUCUUCACAUGUCACUGAAGUGAAAGGGGACAAUUGAAACCUAUUUUGACAGGUUUAAAAGCUAAAGCCAAGCCAGGAAGAGGAAGACAAGAUGAGAAACCCCAAAUCAAGGUAAGAGAAGAAAAUAAGUGCAACAUGCCAGAAAUCCAGUAAAGCAGUUCAAGUAUCAGAAGAGCGUGAAUCAAAACCAAGUGCAAGAAGAGGCACCUUGACAUUGAACUGAAGGCCACCAGGUACUCACUGGGUCAAUGACUCUUCUCAUUUUUAUUCUCCUGCCAGUGCUUCCAAUCGCUGAACUGAACUGGGAACAAAUCAACAAGGGAAACCAAGAGAUGCAUUCCUUGAAGUUCAGCCUCCAGGCCUCAAGUAAGGCAGAGGAAGAGAAUACAUAGAUCUGUGGAGAAGAGUGGUGAUGGUGGGAGCUGCCAAUAAAGAACUAUCAAAAAAGGAUGAUGCAACAGAAAAGCCGUCACCAGAUACCAGCACCUUAAUGUUGGACUUCUCAGCCUCCAGAACUGUAAGAAAUAAAUCCCUGUUCUUUAUAAAUUACCCAGUCUCAGGUAUCCUGCUAUAGCAGCACAAAAUGGACUAUGAUAGAAAAUUGGUAUGAAGGAGUAGUACCAUUGUUAUAACAAAUACCUAAAAAUGGAAGCCACUCUGGAACUGGGUAAGGGGUAGAGUAUGGAAGAAUUUAGAGGAGCAGGCUAGAAAAAGCCUAAAUUGCUGUGUAUUACUCCAGGAUGGUAAGAAAUAAAUCUCUGUUCUUUAUAAAUUGCCCAGACUCACAGCACAAAACAAAUUAAGACAUUAAGAUUUGCCCCAUUCUUAGAAUUCAUUUCUUCCAUUUUCCCUUUAAUUAAAUCAAUGCCAGCAUCUAAGCAGUGUGCACCUUUUGACCAUAGUCUUUCUAAUUGACCAGAAGCUUAGAUGUGGAAAAUGCAAAAACUAUGCACAUUUCUGAUGGGUUUAACUUCUGAGAAAUUUUUACAAGGUUUUCCUUAUUUUAUCUGCUCCAGUAAACCUGUGGUUUCAUGAACAGGCCUAGAAUUUGAGAUUCAGCUUCUAAACUUCAAAGGUGACCUUUCAACCCAUUUGUUUAUAGACUCGGUAUUAACCUUUUGAGUUCUAGAAUAGGGUUUUAGAACUUACUUUCAUAAAAGUUUAUAUAGUCAAUUCCAUUCAUUUAUGCUAAGGACAUAGAAUAUUUCUAGAUUGCACAAUAUGUUUCUGUGGGAAUUGAAUGGAAAUCCAGGUUUCCUGACAAGAAACAAAGGAUCUUUGGGAGGCCGAGACAGGCGGAUCACGAGGUCAGGAGAUCGAGACCAUCCUGGCUAACACGGUGA
RNAcentral lists this long non-coding RNA (1834 nucleotides) under Homo sapiens (human). Its description in RNAcentral is "HSALNT0336600". The record is from RNAcentral. Lineage: Eukaryota; Metazoa; Chordata; Mammalia; Primates; Hominidae.